AGAUAGAUAGAUAGAGAGGGAUGGAUGGAUGGACAGAUGGACAGGCAGAUAAAUGGAUAGACAGACAUGUGUAUAAGAAGAUAUUGGUUUAAAAUAUUGUGAAAUGCAUAUGAAUCUUCAAAAAUUGUCAAUUUUUAUUUUUUCAACAUAAGGUUCCUUAUGGAAAAGGUAGCAUGGAGACUUCUUUAACACUGAGAACCUUAGAACUGAAUAGACACAAAAUCACAAGGAACUUUAAAUUGUAAUGUGAUUUCCUGACAUAGAAUCAGAAACCUUCACACACUUCUGUGAAGCCAGACAUCUUUGAAGGAUACAGAGGACACACAGCUAUCAAUAUAUAGAUUGGAGCGGGGACGGAGGCGGCUUCUGGGGCGCCAUGGUGAACGCGGGAUCCCCACCUGGACAAUGUACCAACAUUUCCACCGCUUCAAAUUGCCCGCGGCUGAAACAGAGCCCGGGACUUCUGUCGAGGAGUGAUAGCGUCACCAGCGUUAACGCAAGAUCCAGGAACACAGAAGGAUAAGACGCGGCGUGAUGGCGUCACAGAGCGCGACGGGAAAACAGGAAGACAGUAGUGAAACGUCUUCAAUGACGGAGGCGUUGGCUUCCGGAGUCCCAUUGAGGACCUUGGGUCCAGGUCGGCACCGGGACGUAUGUACGUACUCAGGAAUCUGCGAUGGACACACCCGGUGCUCCCCCUGUUUCAAAACCCCCGCAAAGGACGCUUAGCCUGGCACUUCCGGCCAGGAGUGAUGGCGUCACGGGAAUCAGGAAGAGAGGAGGGCUGUGGAAAUAAAGGCAGAGCAGAGAUAUCUGGGCGUGGUCCAAUGUCCUGGUGUGACCACAGCAAACAGUAAGAGCGUGAGGAGGUGGGCGCCGCCUGAGGUCAUCACUGACCCGACCACAGGAAACAGGCCAAGUCACAGAACUGAACUAGGUAACUGGAGCCAUCCCGGCUUGAAAACGUCACAGGAGCCACAAAGUUACGGGAGAACCGGGUGAGAUGGUCCGAUGUGGCGCGGCAUGAAGUCGUCAUGAAGUGUGACAGUGACACCGCGACCAGGAUACAAUUAAAGAGUGACAUGCUCCAGGCACCGGCGCCCCGCGGCGCGACAGAAUAGCGACGGUCCUGAGGGACUCAGGCCGCGGCAUUCAAAGUGCUGACCCGGAAUCUUGAUGACUUUACUUGAUGGUGACAGCGGGGACUGGAUGCACACGCGCAGUCACGUCUUCUGAGGCUCUUCCCACAGCUUGGCACAAGUGGACACUUACUUGUCUUGGUUAAUAUGACUCUUUUUGACCUGUGUCAGCUCUUUGAAAGUCUGUCCAAAGUGAGCAGUGGGGUGAACAAUGGCGGCAGCAUCUUUAGGUAUCUGGAUCCAACCAUCAGGAGCUCUAAGCACUGACCCGCAAUGGCUGCCUGCCUCAGUUUGCACACCAGAUGGAUGCCAAUGCUGGUCUCUGUCAGGAAAGUACACAGAUUUCCUAAUGGUGCUUUCAACAUUAGUUCCUAUUAGAGUAUGUAACUGAAGAGGUAUCAGAGAUAACUCUUAUGUUUCUUUAACGUGAUAGAUGUUCCUCAUAUUUUUCUAAAUUUAGAAAUAUCUUGAACAUUGUGCCAUGUAAAGUAUUGAUUAUCGUUCAUGUGCAUGUUUUAACUUCUGCGAUUUAUUUAUUGACUUUUAAAGCUUCUAAUUUCAACACUAACUUCCAAACGGCAACAGAAGAAAAGUAAAACAACAUUAGGGGCAGAAGAAUAAUUUGGAUCAUGUGCGUUGGAAUAGAGGUACUGAACAGAACCACUCGAGUGGGAAGGGCCCAGGUCACCAUCAAGGAGACUAAAGCUGGGGUAGGAAGAGCAUGAGAAAGUCUCAGAGGUAUUGGGCCUGUACUGGGAAGAUCUUUUCAGAUACCCCUGGAAUGCUCUGAACUCACAGGCGGGGGAUUUACAAGUGGGACUCUUUAUCCUGGUAGCUAGAUGUGGAAAUGGCACUUCCAAGUCCUAUUUGGGGAUGGCUUGCCCAGGGAGCUUGGCUCAGUGGAGUGUAGAAUGAAUGCCAACAUUAACAAUAAUUCUGGUGGAAGUGCAAAUGUCUGCAUCAAGUUCUCAAAAAAUCCUUUUAUGGUCCAUCUGUUUGGACACACCCUGGUUCCAAACCUUGUUUUGCCUCAGGACCCACAUUCUUAGAAACUUGCUAGCUUGCUGAAGACUUGGCCUGCUUCUGCCUUCUUUUCUGCAACACUGACUGGAUGCUAAGAUUCACUCUUUGGCACUGUGACAUUUGAGCCUUUGCAAAAUAUAUUAUGUUUAUUCACGCGC
Molecule: small RNA, 2320 nt
Filed under: Rattus norvegicus (Norway rat)
Lineage: Eukaryota; Metazoa; Chordata; Mammalia; Rodentia; Muridae
Description: uncharacterized LOC102546625
Source: RNAcentral